AGCAGCCGCGGUAAUUCCAGCUCCAAUAGCGUAUAUUUAAGUUGUUGCAGUUAAAAAGCUCGUAGUUGAAUUUCGGGGUUAGUAGGUUGGUCAUGCCUCUGGUAUGUACUGGUCUCACUGAUUCCUCCUUCCUGAUGAGCCGUAAUGCCAUUAAUUUGGUGUUGCGGGGAAUUUGGACUGUUACUUUGAAAAAAUUAGAGUGUUUAAAGCAAGCUAACGCUUGAAUACAUUAGCAUGGAAUAAUGAAAUAGGACGUUCGAUCCUAUUUUGUUGGUUUCUAGGAUUGACGUAAUGAUUAAUAGGGAUAGUUGGGGGCAUUAGUAUUCAAUUGUCAGAGGUGAAAUUCUUGGAUUUAUUGAAGACUAACUACUGCGAAAGCAUUUGCCAAGGAUGUUUUCAUUAAUCAAGAACGAAAGUUAGGGGAUCGAAGACGAUCAGAUACCGUCGUAG
RNAcentral lists this ribosomal RNA (450 nucleotides) under uncultured Glomeromycotina. Its description in RNAcentral is "SSU rRNA". It matches the Rfam family "Eukaryotic small subunit ribosomal RNA", at positions 569 to 1023 of the family's 1831-position model. The record is from RNAcentral. Lineage: Eukaryota; Fungi; Glomeromycota.